Non-coding RNA from Podarcis muralis (Common wall lizard), 2190 nucleotides. The record is from RefSeq and is a predicted model, not a curated record. Lineage: Eukaryota; Metazoa; Chordata; Lepidosauria; Squamata; Lacertidae.
CGCACGUGGCCUCUUCGGGGCUCCCCCUCCCCCGCGACGGGGGCGGGUUCGCGCGCUCCCUUCUUCGCUCGCUCGCUCGGGGCUACAGGCGGCUCGGGCGCAGCCGCGUGCUCUGCCAGCCUGCCAAGCCGGAGCCGGGCGCACAAGAGCCUCCUCUUCCGAGUCCUUCCCCUCCUCGCUCGGCGCGUCCAGCCGCCUCCUUUUCCUCCUCCUCCUCCUCCUCCGUCGUCCUCCUGCCACCGGGCUGCCCCGGGGAUGUCGCUCGUGGCGAAGGGACCCGGGGCUCCUGCACUCGCCUGCCCCCGCCGCAGGGACCACUGAGAGAGAAGCGCCAAGGAGCUAGAGCUGGCACAAGGACCCCGAUGGCUUUCCUUUCCAGCACAGAGUGCAUGUAUCUGCACUAGAUUGUGACAUCUACUAGAAGCAACACAACCCUUUGGUGUUCCAGAGAGCCCAAAGUGACUGAGCACCACGGGGGAAGCUUGGCUGAUUCCAAAGGGUCUUGCUCCCUCGUCUCAGCUGCCGCCCUCCUGGAAGCCACCAAACCCCCACCUGCGAUUCCUUCACCAAGUUGGCACGUCAUUUGCCCAUGGCAAUCUCCGAGGAGGCACGCGGUGGCCUGCAUCUGGUGUCAACGGGACCACGCCUGUGAAAGGAGGGAACCCCAGUCAGCAUCCCAGGACGGAGAGAGCCAGGGGUCCGGGGAGACACCCAGCGGCCUGGGCCGGACCACCUCUCUGUGGCUCUGUGGACAUCCCGGCUGCCAGCAUGAUGAUGUAUUUCUGGGUAGGUCCCUGCUUUGGGCGAGUCCUGGUUGCCUCGUUUACGUGUUGUUGCUAGUUCCCAGAGUUUUGCUGGCUGUUUGGAGGUGGGUGUUGGCAAGCAAGGGGUUUUGCUACUUCCUCAUUGGCUGGUGGGAGCGGGCCUUUGCAUUUAUUUUCCUGUUCCACCCCCCUCCCCAAUUCUAGGGUUUUGCUAUGAGCUCUGGAUGGACUCUUGGUUAAUCUGUCCAGAGGAUAUUCUUCGAAGUGUUGUUGUUAGCAAGGUGAAUUCUCUGGUUUUUGUGCUUAAAAGGCCACUAAGGGGCCAGGGCCUAACUGAAGGUGUGUGGGCUCUGCAGGCUUCUCUGGCACCUUGUCUCUCCACCCUGUUCUUCUCUGGAAUCACAGCCGAUGGCAGCUGAAGCAGUAGAUCUCUGUCGGCCGGGCAAGAGCCAACUCUAUUUGUACGUAUUACUUGGGAAAGUGGAAUAUGCUGGAAUUACAGGUGAACGAUCGCCUGCUGUCCUGGGAGUGUGUCUUGUGAGUGGAGGUUAGGACAACUUACAGGAUCUUUCAGCAGCCCUGCCACUUACUUCCCUGUACCUUUCGUUAUCAUUGUGCCUGAAUUCCCGACAGAUUAGUCCGCACGGAAUGAAAUCUGAGGCCCCCUAAUUCAUUGUGUGUUCUGUUCCAAGCAGAACUCCAUGUCUUCUCCGGCUUUCUCUUCUGCACCAUUGCCCUCAUGCAAAACUGGAAUACGUGCAGUGCAAGGGGGGCAGUCUGCCACUGAAAGAAAGGUCCCGAGCAGCUGGAUUAUAUGUGGAAAGGGCCUCUCUGAGCGCUAGUCCUUUAAGCCGUCAGCAUCCUCCUGUUAAAUCUACAGGAUACGACUGAACGCUCAGCCAGGUGAAGAAGGAAACAAUUAUGAAACCCAAGAAUACACUUCAGCCUUGACUGCACGUUAUCGGGGUGAAUGAGGGCCUGGCUGGGAAUGGAGUGUAGAUUGAAGAUGAAUGGCGCUGGACCUUAGUGCCCCAGUGGCAGGUGUUAACUUGUCUUAACAUUUCCUGGGAAAGCCAACGCCUUAUUCCAAGAGCUUUGUUGGAGGUGUUUCUCUAUCUAUGCUUGGCAGUUCCAAAUUCUUAUGAGAGUACUGUGUGGAAGGAAGCUGCUGUCCUUUCCUCUUCCCCCAACUUAUUGCCCAGGCAAACUAGACUGUUGGAUUUUACAUUUCUGUGGUCCAGCUCAGUAGCAGGGUGCUUCCAGAUGAGCUGUUUAUUGAGCGUUGAUCCUGAUUUGUUUGAGGGAUGACUGUCGAAAGUGUCACCCCACACUUUCCUGUGCAUUUCCCCAUCACUUUCCUUAUUGCUAAAAGUCCGAUCUUUUGAGGAAGUGGGCUUUGCUCAAGACUCCCCAAACCGCUGUAAUU